Molecule: ribosomal RNA, 321 nt
Filed under: uncultured bacterium
Lineage: Bacteria
Description: bacterial SSU rRNA
Rfam family: Bacterial small subunit ribosomal RNA
Source: RNAcentral
UGACGGUACCUGACUAAGAAGCCCCGGCUAACUACGUGCCAGCAGCCGCGGUAAUACGUAGGGGGCAAGCGUUAUCCGGAUUUACUGGGUGUAAAGGGAGCGCAGACGGCAUUGCAAGUCUGAAGUGAAAACCCGGGGCUCAACUCCGGGACUGCUUUGGAAACUGUAGCGCUAGAGUGCAGGAGAGGCAAGUGGAAUUCCUAGUGUAGCGGUGAAAUGCUUAGAUAUGACAUAGAACACCGAUCGCGAAGGCAGCUGGCGAGGAUGCGACUGACGCUGAGGCACGAAGGCGUGGGGAUCGAACAGGAUUAAGAUACCCUG